UACGUAGGGUGCGAGCGUUGUCCGGAAUUAUUGGGCGUAAAGAGCUUGUAGGCGGUCUGUCGCGUCUGCUGUGAAAAUCCGGGGCUCAACCCGGACUUGCAGUGGGUACGGGCAGACUAGAGUGUGGUGGGGGAGACUGGAAUUCCUGGUGUAGCGGUGAAAUGCGCAGAUAUCAGGAGGAACACCGAUGGCGAAGGCAGGUCUCUGGGCCACUACUGACGCUGAGAAGCGAAAGCAUGGGGAGCGAACAGG
RNAcentral lists this ribosomal RNA (252 nucleotides) under uncultured bacterium. RNAcentral describes it as "partial 16S ribosomal RNA". It matches the Rfam family "Bacterial small subunit ribosomal RNA", at positions 524 to 776 of the family's 1533-position model. The record is from RNAcentral.